Molecule: long non-coding RNA, 550 nt
Organism: Clupea harengus (Atlantic herring)
Lineage: Eukaryota; Metazoa; Chordata; Actinopteri; Clupeiformes; Clupeidae
Source: Ensembl
AAGAAUAGUUACUGUCGCUACAAAGACAGAAACUCGGGAAGAGAAUCCAUCGCUGAAGAAAAUCUUCAUCUCCAAUAUGAGCAAAGACUAGGCCAAAGAAAAAGACUCACUCUGAAGACUUUUCCAAACAGCACUUUGAACAGGUGACAGGAGCCAAAGAAUUUGAGAGACUUGCUGCCGUCGCCAAGCUGGUCCUGGUGUUGCCCCAUUCGAAUGCAGAUGCUGAGAGGGUGUUUUCAGUUGUGGGACUGAACAAAACUAAGACCAGAAAUAGCCUGGCAUUGGAUGGCACCCUGUCCUCAAUAAUGGCCAUAAAGAUGGCUGACCUGGAGCCCUAUUUGAGAUGGGAGCCCCCCUCUGAGGUCAUCAAGGCCUCCAAGAAGGCCACAGGCCAGUACAACCUUGUCCACAGAUCUUAGAAAAUGACUAACCAGCUUCUGAUCUGCAUCUGAUACCUCAUUUUUAGUUAUUUUUGUCAUGUGUUGAUCCAUUGUAUUGCCUAAAAAGGCUACUGUUUAAGCACUUUUUUUGUUUGAUGGAACAUGUGUUG